GGGGGUAUAGCUCAGUUGGUAGAGCACUGCGCUGGCAGCGCAGUUGUCAGCGGUUCGACUCCGCUUACCUCCA
Molecule: transfer RNA, 73 nt
Organism: Pseudobacteriovorax antillogorgiicola
Lineage: Bacteria; Pseudomonadati; Bdellovibrionota; Oligoflexia; Oligoflexales; Pseudobacteriovoracaceae
Rfam family: tRNA
About the family: Transfer RNA (tRNA) molecules are approximately 80 nucleotides in length. Their secondary structure includes four short double-helical elements and three loops (D, anti-codon, and T loops).
Source: Rfam